This 484-nucleotide ribosomal RNA is filed under the name uncultured bacterium. RNAcentral describes it as "partial 16S ribosomal RNA". It matches the Rfam family "Bacterial small subunit ribosomal RNA", at positions 30 to 507 of the family's 1533-position model. The record is from RNAcentral.
AUUGAACGCUGGCGGCAGGCCUAACACAUGCAAGUCGAGCGGAUGAAGGGAGCUUGCUCCUGGAUUCAGCGGCGGACGGGUGAGUAAUGCCUAGGAAUCUGCCUGGUAGUGGGGGAUAACGUCCGGAAGCGGGCGCUAAUACCGCAUACGUCCUGAGGGAGAAAGUGGGGGAUCUUCGGACCUCACGCUAUCAGAUGAGCCUAGGUCGGAUUAGCUAGUUGGUGGGGUAAAGGCCUACCAAGGCGACGAUCCGUAACUGGUCUGAGAGGAUGAUCAGUCACACUGGAACUGAGACACGGUCCAGACUCCUACGGGAGGAAGCAGUGGGGAAUAUUGGACAAUGGGCGAAAGCCUGAUCCAGCCAUGCCGCGUGUGUGAAGAAGGUCUUCGGAUUGUAAAGCACUUUAAGUUGGGAGGAAGGGCAGUAAGUUAAUACCUUGCUGUUCUGACGUUACCAACAGAAUAAGCACCGGCUAACUUCGUG